CGGAAGUUGGAUCAUGAGCUCCUGAUGCUCUCUCUCUCUCUGAAUGAAGAUUGAGUGUUACCCCAGACUGCAUCAACCUCUGCUUUCACAGGAGGAUUUACCUGCAUAUCUUGAACUAAUUGCCUCAGCCAGCUUGACUCAUUGGGACUGGAAUUUUAUCGAUCUUUUGAGUGGAGAAGGAGGAUUGUCCCGCCUGCUUCCAGAGAUCUGACUGGUGUCUCAAGUGGAUAUCAGCUAAGAACGUGUUGCAGCCAGUGGGCAUUACAUGAACAACAGGCACUCAAGUCAAGUACAUGGGACACUUGUGGAACAGCAUCUUUUUUUUUCCUUGGAAGUAGUGUUCUUCAGGCCAUAAGAUCAGAAAGUACAGGAGCAAAAUGAAGCCACUUGGCCCAUCAAAUACGCUCUGCCAUUCAAUCAUGGCUAAUAUUUUUCUCAAGCACAUUUACUGUUUCAUACAUCGCACACAUUUAAGUACAAUAUCCUCAGUCAUGCACUGACCGCCCACCUUCUCAUUAGUUGGCCACUUAUCCACUGUGGCUGAAGUUAGAUUCCUUAGCUCCCCCCUUCCCCAGUACUGGUGCCAGUGUUUCAUGAAGAUAACAUUGCAAAGAAAAGAUUUUAAUUUAAACUGAGUUGAUGCUAAAAGUGCACAGGAUUUAGGUCCCAGAGAAGAUAAUCACUUGAAACUGUUAAUGGGUUUGACUAGCUUGAAUUGUUUUGCAGAAGUUUUUUUUUAAAAAACUUUAAAUGCAUGACAAUAUAUUUUUUAUGGAAAAUCUUUAUUUAAACUGUGCAAUCGUUCAAAAUUCAGACUAUUUUACAACAGUUUUAAAACAUUUUGGCUUUUAGACUAGUUAUAUUUUUGGCAUGACUUCGCAAAAUUACAGAUCAGGCACCUGAAUUCUAGGCAGCAUUCACCGUAAUGCUAUUAUAAAAUAGGAAAACACAGUUUCUCAGGAAAAGUAGUUAAAGACAUAAAUGAGGUACAUUCACAAAUCAAGGCAAAUGUUCAUUCUCCUACAGCAAUGGAUUCAAAGUGGAGCUGAUCCCCUGAGACAAAAAAUUUGAUAUAAUCCAGGUCCACCAUCCAGUAGCAGGAUUACAAACACUGCCUUUACAAGACAAUUGGCAACUGAAGAUAGAAGGUUCAGAACACCUGAGAUACAUCAUUAGACUGUACCUUCCACUUCUUCCCUUUAGUUCACAUCUUAACAUUAUGAUCUAAAUCAAAACAAAAACUAACAUAUUAUUGUUCUCAUCACAAAGAAAAAAUACAAAUAGCAAUACAAAAAGGAGUUUUGUUUUUCCGCCCUACCAGAUCGAUGUAAUAUGUCCUUAGGUGACAUCCUUCAGUACUACAUUAGUUACAUAACAAAUGGAUGUAGUUACAUGUCACCUAAGCACCCAUUACAGUAGUCGCAUAACUUUAACAAGUCAAAAUGAAAAUACAAAUGCAGACAGUUUAACAAAUUCCAGAUUAAUGAGUAUCAACAAAUAAGUGUGGCAGUAGUUUUUUUUUGUCUGUAAUUAACACCUCAAAUCUCACUCAGCAAAAACUCAUCACCAGGCCAGCAUAUUUAUCAGAUUCUGCCUUUACUGAAUUAAUAGAUAGGUUCUCAAGAUUAGUGCUAACUUUUUCUAAUCAGUUGGUGAUGUCAGUAGCAUCAGAUUUAUCAGAGACAAAUCACCCUAAUAAACCCAAAAAAAAGGUAGUUAUACAAAUUAAUAUGAUCAGUCAAAAGCACUUUGUAACAUUUAAUGUUGCUGUAGAUGCAGGCCAAUGCAACAGAAUUUAUGGACAAGAUGAAAUUAAACAAGAGUUUUGUUUGUGAAAAUUUCUAUAUCCUACAUAGAGAUUCAGUCUCAAUUCGUAUCUAACUACACAAUAUCUGAAACAUUUGAAAAAAAUGACAAAAUAUGCUGGUGGCUCUUAGCAGUCUAGUCUUGAAGUACUAUACAUUACAUAUCAAAGGUAUUGCAUUAAAUGUCUUUCUACUGACUGGCUAUUUCGUGAUCUCCAUCAAAAAGACCAUCCAUAAUAUGGAAACUACAAUGACCAAAAAGACUUUCAACUUGGAACCAUAAUAUCAAGCCCUAUUAAUGACCAAAAUGUGCACAUUUUCUGGGGGAAAAAAAAAGUUACUGAUAGCUAGAGUCAUGCCAUGGAUUGUAGGAAUGGGGUGGAAAGGGAACAGGCUUUGCUUUGUUUAAUGCUCGAUCAAACGCAAAGCUGGAAAGAAAAGUGGGUUGAGGGUGCAUAAGGAAUAGAGCAGUGGUCCAACAUUUUAGAUUUACUCUGAUGAAAAUGAAUUAGAAAUUCUCAACAGUAAAUGGCAUUAUGAACACAAGGACAAUGGGCUUUUGACGACUUAAAUAUUAUUCUGUAAAAAAUUGACUUCAAAAUUUCCAAAAGCACCAUCAAAACCAAGAAAUAUAGAUGUUUACUUGUAGUGUUCAGCAGAAUGACACUUUCACCAAUCAUGCAUUGAACCACAUAGCACCUCACUAGAAAUGAAGAUAGAAGGAAGCUGAUAAGGUUUUUAAAAAACUCAAUGGCCAUCAGGUUUAUUCUGUAUACUGCAACCUUAAUGUAUAAAGUACUUCAAAAUGACUGCUGUACAUAGUGAGAAGAUGCUGGCUUUGACUGAGGAUGUUUAACAUGGACUUUUUUUGCUGCAUUAAAAUAAAACAAAUAGUUAAACAACAUCAUUUAAAGAGAAGACCAUCUAUUUCUGAGUGAAGAGCUAAACUCCUACUUUUGAUACAAAGGUGAAUAAAAAGUAAUCUUUGGUUUUUAUGGGCAGCUGAUCUAGCUGUAUUUGACACUGAAAAUAUUAACACUAUUUAUUAAGGAGGAAGCAGUUUAUUUACUCUCCUUUUUUUGUGGAACUCAACAAGAGACAGAACUUUCUUAUUGCUCAACACUGGUUAACAGAUUCUAUUUAAAGCUAUUAUAAGGCCCUUUUCUUCCCCCACCUCCCUCAUACUCCAGAACUGCCAUUUUAUAACACAUAUCUAUAAGUAACCACUACAAACGUGACAACAAGCCACUGAAGCAGUCAUCUUUAUAAAAGAUGGUUGUUAUUUAACUGAAUCGUGCAAGAAAUUGCUGAGUGUUACAAGCAGCUGGAGUAUUUCACUUUGGUUUGCGCAAGAGAAAUUUGGUAUUUCUUUAGAAGCAACAUUUUUAAGUAAAACCUAUGUUAAUUAGGGGAAGAGAAAAAGUUUGCUUCCUUUUAAAAUGCUAAACAAUUAAUGCCAGAAGCAUCCAAUAAAGCUUCAGUUAUUGAGAAAAAGGGAAUAAUCUUGUAUCCAGUGAUAUUAAACAAUUUAUUGCAAUAUUGAGGAGCAAUAUACAUUUAUAAAUUACACUUGGAACUACAAGAAAAUUCUCUUUCUCAUUCAUCAACUUGUGUAGGUUGGAUGAAAAGUGACAGUUCUUGGGUCUUGAAUUCAGAUACUGUAUAGACACAGUGCCCUGUCAAGAUAUAUUAAAAAAGGUCCAACAAGGAAAAUAAAUCUUUGGAUAUAGACACACGUCAUUUACCUAUGCAUACCGCCUUGAUUCCUACUACUAUAGGAUGACACUAAUUUGAAAGACAAGUGCUAAACUGACUAUUACUCUAAUUCUGAUCUACACUAUAAAGAGCAGAGUGCAGCUAACCAGAAGUAGUACUCAGUAGAUAGUACUAAAGAUCUUUCAAUGAGCCGAUACAAGAAAUAAACUCAAACAUUAAAUUCCUUUAGAUUUGAAUAGAUUCGAAUUUGCCUUUAACUAAUUU
Molecule: long non-coding RNA, 3785 nt
Organism: Hemiscyllium ocellatum (epaulette shark)
Lineage: Eukaryota; Metazoa; Chordata; Chondrichthyes; Orectolobiformes; Hemiscylliidae
Exons: 3
Source: RefSeq, a predicted model, not a curated record